This 140-nucleotide transfer RNA is filed under the name Halobellus salinus. RNAcentral's name for it is "Halobacteriaceae archaeon CSW2.24.4 tRNA". It matches the Rfam family "tRNA". From Rfam's summary of the family: Transfer RNA (tRNA) molecules are approximately 80 nucleotides in length. Lineage: Archaea; Methanobacteriati; Methanobacteriota; Halobacteria; Halobacteriales; Haloferacaceae. The record is from Rfam by way of RNAcentral.
GGGCACGUAGUUCAGUUUGGUAGAACGCCCGGACCGAGUCCGGAUUACUGGGGAUGUGAGUCCGCGCGGCACAUCUCGCGCCCGUUGUGCAGUGAUCUGGCUUUUCGGCGAGGCCCUGGGUUCGAAUCCCAGCGUGUCCA